This 429-nucleotide ribosomal RNA is filed under the name uncultured bacterium. Its description in RNAcentral is "bacterial SSU rRNA". It matches the Rfam family "Bacterial small subunit ribosomal RNA", at positions 917 to 1344 of the family's 1533-position model. The record is from RNAcentral.
GGACCCGCACAAGUAGUGGAGCAUGUGGUUUAAUUCGAAGAUACGCGCAGAACCUUACCAACACUUGACAUGUUCGUCGCGACUCUAAGAGAUUAGAGUUUUCGGUUCGGCCGGACGAAACACAGGUGCUGCAUGGCUGUCGUCAGCUCGUGUCGUGAGAUGUUGGGUUAAGUCCCGCAACGAGCGCAACCCUCACUUUUAGUUGCCAUCAUUAAGUUGGGCACUCUGAAAGAACUGCCAGUGAUAAGCUGGAGGAAGGUGGGGAUGACGUCAAGUCCUCAUGGCCCUUACGUGUUGGGCUACACACGUGCUACAAUGAUAUCUACAACAGGAAGCAAAACGGCGACGUUAAGCAAAUCCUUAAAAGAUAUCUCAGUUCGGAUUGCACUCUGCAACUCGAGUGCAUGAAGCUGGAAUUACUAGUAAUCG